GAUCCCAAAAGAAGAGAUGUUUCGCUUCUCUCAUCAGGUCCCAGAUCAUUUGCUUAAUGGUGAAGAAGCUCAUAAUGCUCCGAAGGGUUGUCGGGAGUUAGAUCCAGCAGCUACUCCUUUGGAACUUCUUCAGGUAAUUGCAGAAGUUAACGAGGAACAAAUGGUAGAAAUUACUGGGAAAUUUGAGGAAGAAAUGGCACCGAAAAUUACAGAAACAAAGGUUGAUCAGAUGGUGGAAAAUGCUUCGACAUUCAAGGAGGUCGAGGUGAUAAAAAGUGAUGAACAAGCUGAAGAUGAUAAAUAAAGAUUUGGUAAAUAGGUGGCUGAGGAAGCCAAUGUUGUAGAUCAUUCUGAAAAGGCUGAGAUAUUAGCUAGUGCAAACUGCUCAAGAUACACCAAUAUAGGUAAGGUUUUCUUUUUUCCUUUUAUUUUGUAAAGCUGAUCCAAACUGUGGAUGGCUUUUUGCAGCAUAACUGGAUCUGCAAAUGCUCCGAAGUCCCCUUUUAAUUUUCUUUCUUUCUUUUUUUGAGUUGACGAAUGCUGAAUUUGGAUACUUGUAACUCAUGCUUGACCAUGAUCAAGUUU
RNAcentral lists this unclassified non-coding RNA (585 nucleotides) under Hevea brasiliensis (rubber tree). Lineage: Eukaryota; Viridiplantae; Streptophyta; Magnoliopsida; Malpighiales; Euphorbiaceae. The record is from RNAcentral.